Molecule: ribosomal RNA, 429 nt
Filed under: uncultured bacterium
Lineage: Bacteria
Description: bacterial SSU rRNA
Rfam family: Bacterial small subunit ribosomal RNA
Source: RNAcentral
UGGGGAAUAUUGCACAACGGGCGCAAGCCUGAUGCAGCGACGCCGCGUGUAGGAUGAAGGUUUUCGGAUUGUAAACUCCUGUUAAGUGGGAAGAAAGACACUGACCUAAUACGUCAGUGGGAUGACGGUACCACUAGAGAAAGCACCGGCAAACUUCGUGCCAGCAGCCGCGGUAAUACGAAGGGUGCUAGCGUUAUUCGGAAUCACUGGGCUUAAAGGGCGCGUAGGCGGGUGAUCAAGUCAAUGGUGAAAUCCUCCAGCUUAACUGGAGAAGUGCCUUUGAUACUGAUUGUCUAGAGGGAGGUAGGGGCAUGUGGAACUUCAGGUGGAGCGGUGAAAUGCGUAGAUAUGUGGAGGAACAUCAAUGGCGAAGGCAGCCCCCUGGGUCGACACUGACGCUCAUGCACGAAAGCGUGGGGAGCAAACAGG